Molecule: ribosomal RNA, 501 nt
Filed under: uncultured bacterium
Lineage: Bacteria
Description: partial 16S ribosomal RNA
Rfam family: Bacterial small subunit ribosomal RNA
Source: RNAcentral
AUUGAACGCUGGCGGCAUGCCUUACACAUGCAAGUCGAACGGCAGCACGGGUGCUUGCACCUGGUGGCGAGUGGCGAACGGGUGAGUAAUAUAUCGGAACGUACCUUAUUGUGGGGGAUAACGCAGCGAAAGCUGUGCUAAUACCGCAUAAUCCCUAAGGGGGAAAGCGGGGGACCGUAAGGCCUCGCGCAAUUAGAGCGGCCGAUACCUGAUUAGCUAGUUGGUGAGGUAAAGGCUCACCAAGGCAACGAUCAGCAGCUGGUCUGAGAAGACGAUCAGCCACACUGGGACUGAUACACAGCCCAGACUCCUACGGGAGGCAGCGGUGGGGAAUGUUGGACAAUGGGGGCAACCCUGAUCCAGCAAUGCCGCGUGAGUGAAGAAGGCCUUCGGGUUGUAAAGCUCUUUUGUCAGGGAAGAAACAGCAGCUCUAACACAGUAUGCGAAUGACGGUACCUGAAGAAUAAGCACCGGCUAACUACGUGCCAGCCGCCGCCGUAA